UACGAAGGGGGCUAGCGUUGCUCGGAAUCACUGGGCGUAAAGCGCACGUAGGCGGCUUCUUAAGUUAGAGGUGAAAGCCCGGGGCUCAACCCCGGAAUUGCCUUUAAGACUGCAUCGCUAGAAUUGUGGAGAGGUAAGUGGAAUUCCGAGUGUAGAGGUGAAAUUCGUAGAUAUUCGGAAGAACACCAGUGGCGAAGGCGACUUACUGGACACAUAUUGACGCUGAGGUGCGAAAGCGUGGGGAGCAAACAGG
Molecule: ribosomal RNA, 253 nt
Filed under: uncultured bacterium
Lineage: Bacteria
Description: partial 16S ribosomal RNA
Rfam family: Bacterial small subunit ribosomal RNA
Source: RNAcentral